AUUGAACACUGGCGGCAUGCCUUACACAUGCAAGUCGAACGGUAACAGGUCUUCGGAUGCUGACGAGUGGCGAACGGGUGAGUAAUACAUCGGAACGUGCCCGAUCGUGGGGGAUAACGAGGCGAAAGCUUUGCUAAUACCGCAUACGAUCUACGGAUGAAAGCGGGGGAUCUUCGGACCUCGCGCGGACGGAGCGGCCGAUGGCAGAUUAGGUAGUUGGUGGGAUAAAAGCUUACCAAGCCGACGAUCUGUAGCUGGUCUGAGAGGAUGAUCAGCCACACUGGGACUGAGACACGGCCCAGACUCCUACGGGAGGCAGCAGUGGGGAAUUUUGGACAAUGGGCGAAAGCCUGAUCCAGCCAUGCCGCGUGCAGGAUGAAGGCCUUCGGGUUGUAAACUGCUUUUGUACGGAACGAAAAGCCUCUUUCUAAUAAAGAGGGGUCAUGACGGUACCGUAAGAAUAAGCACCGGCUAACUACGUG
Molecule: ribosomal RNA, 482 nt
Filed under: uncultured bacterium
Lineage: Bacteria
Description: partial 16S ribosomal RNA
Rfam family: Bacterial small subunit ribosomal RNA
Source: RNAcentral